CCUACGGGUGGCAGCAGUGGGGAAUAUUGCACAAUGGGGGAAACUCUGAUGCAGCGACGCCGCGUGAGUGAAGAAGUAUUUCGGUAUGUAAAGCUCUAUUAGCAGGGAAGAAAAUGACGGUACGUGAUUAAGAAGCACCGGCUAACAACGUGCCAGCAGCCGCGGUAAUACGCAGGGGGCAAGCGUUAUCCGGAGUUACUGGGUGUAAAGGGGGCGUAGACGGCAGCAACGGUCUGGAGUGAAAUGCCGGGGCUUAACCCCGGAACUGCUUGGGAAACUGUGCAGCUAGAGUGCAGGAGGGGUAGGUGGAAUUCCUAGUGUAGCGGUGAAAUGCUUAGAUAUUAGGCGGAACACCAGUGGCGAAGGCGGCUUACUGGACUGUUUCUGACGUUGAGGCUCGAAAGCGUGGGGAGCAAACAGGAUUAGAUACCCUUGUAGUC
RNAcentral lists this ribosomal RNA (440 nucleotides) under uncultured bacterium. RNAcentral's name for it is "partial 16S ribosomal RNA". It matches the Rfam family "Bacterial small subunit ribosomal RNA", at positions 338 to 795 of the family's 1533-position model. The record is from RNAcentral.